Molecule: ribosomal RNA, 454 nt
Filed under: uncultured bacterium
Lineage: Bacteria
Description: bacterial SSU rRNA
Rfam family: Bacterial small subunit ribosomal RNA
Source: RNAcentral
ACUCCUACGGGAGGCAGCAGUGGGGAAUAUUGGACAAUGGACCAAAAGUCUGAUCCAGCAAUUCUGUGUGUUUGAUGAAGGCCUCGGUUGUAAGAACUUUCUAGUGGGAAGGAAGCAAGUGACGGUACCCGACCAGAAGAAGCGACGGCUAAAUACGUGCCAGCAGCCGCGGUAAUACGUAUGUCGCAAGCGUUAUCCGGAAUUAUUGGGCAUAAAGGGCGUCUAGGCGGUCUAAUAAGUCUGAUGUGAAAAUAGCGGGGCGUCAACUCCGUAAUUGCGUUGGAAACUGUUAGACUAGAGUUUUGGAGAGGUAGGCGGAACUACAAGUGUAGAGGUGAAAUUCGUAGAGAUUUGUAGGAAUGCCGAUGACGAAGGUAGCUUACUGGACAAAUACUGACGCUGAAGCGCGAAAGCUAGGGGAGCGAAACAGGAUUAGAUACCCUGGUAGCGAUGA